GUUCCUUGGAGGUUAACAUGAGAUAGAAAACUAAGUUAACACAACUCAUCGACUGCCCUUGCUUUGCUUUGCUUUGCUUUUAGAAUGCCAUCGGGUUUUGUCAUGUUGGGAACAAGUUAACUUAGGCCAGUUGACUAAGAUCAAGGUAUGUGAACAUGCCUGGCUGGGAGAGAAGUAGAGUAAAUGUUGGUUCGCAUUCCCUCCCGACGCCCACAAUGCCAGCCAUCCCUGACUUUUCUUGCCUUUAUUGGGAAGAAUAUAAGGUGGCAGAAACAAACUUCCCACCCUUUUUCCAAAUAUUUACUGAAGGAGUCUUGAGGAG
This 322-nucleotide long non-coding RNA is filed under the name Homo sapiens (human). Its description in RNAcentral is "LHRI_LNC1721.1". The record is from RNAcentral. Lineage: Eukaryota; Metazoa; Chordata; Mammalia; Primates; Hominidae.